CGGGGUAUAGCUCAGUUGGCUCAGAGCGCGCGAUUCGGGUUCGCGAGGCCGCAGGUUCGAGUCCUGCUACCCCGACCA
This 78-nucleotide transfer RNA is filed under the name candidate division WWE3 bacterium. RNAcentral describes it as "tRNA-Pro". It matches the Rfam family "tRNA". Rfam says of the family: Transfer RNA (tRNA) molecules are approximately 80 nucleotides in length. The record is from RNAcentral. Lineage: Bacteria; candidate division WWE3.